UAAGAAAAGGAGAAUUGCUGGUUGGU
This 26-nucleotide non-coding RNA is filed under the name Homo sapiens (human). The record is from RNAcentral. Lineage: Eukaryota; Metazoa; Chordata; Mammalia; Primates; Hominidae.